RNAcentral lists this small nuclear RNA (133 nucleotides) under Ochotona princeps (American pika). RNAcentral describes it as "U4 spliceosomal RNA (ENSOPRG00000021028.1)". The stretch from base 1 to 64 matches the Rfam family "U4 spliceosomal RNA". Lineage: Eukaryota; Metazoa; Chordata; Mammalia; Lagomorpha; Ochotonidae. The record is from RNAcentral.
AGCUUUGUGCAGUGGCAGUAUCGUAGCCAAUGAGGUCUAUCCAAGGCGCGAUUAUUGCUGAUUAUUGCUAAUUAAAACAACAACCUACUAGAUGUGGCCUUUCCACUGCAGAAGGCUCAUUCCCUUAGAAGGG